This is a long non-coding RNA of Acinonyx jubatus (cheetah), 3631 nucleotides long. RefSeq lists it as uncharacterized. NCBI's taxonomy places the organism in Eukaryota, Metazoa, Chordata, Mammalia, Carnivora, Felidae. The transcript is spliced from 2 exons. The record is from RefSeq and is a predicted model, not a curated record.
GUAAUCCCAGCCGGUGUGUACAAAUGGGCGACGCCAUAUUGUACGGUAGCUGCUCGGGCAGCUGUGCCCGCCCCAGUUUCUCCAGUGCUGAACAAAGGAUCUGUUAAAAUUGGAAAGGCUAUCGUCUCUUCAGAAAAGGAUUAUAUUGCCUCCUGUAAAGGAAAAGAAGUUCUAAGUUCCUUUAGGUAAGUACCCAUAAGGGGGAAAUUUAUGGCAUAUGUAGAGGAUUAACUCCCUGCAUUUUAAUCUGCUCCAUCCAGAAACAUCUAAAAUAACAAAAAAGUUAAAAGGAAAUGCAAAUUAAAACCACAAUGAGAGACCAUAUCCACCAGAAAGACUAAAAUGAAAAAGACACAAAACGCCAAGGAUUGACAAGGUUGUGGAGCAACCAGAGCUCUCAUAUGCUUCUGAGGGUAAAUAAAUGGGUACCAUCACUUUGUUAAACUGUUUGGCAGGAUCAACUAAAGCUAAAUAUAUGCAUAGCCUCUGUCCCAACAGUUUCACUCCUAGGUAUAAGCCCAACAAAAAUGUGUACAUAUGUUCACUGAACAGACAUAUACAAAAAAACCCAUACUCAUGUUGGCAACGGCCCUAAACUGGAAACUACCCAAAUAUCCAUGCUGUUAGAAGUCAACGUAGAGUAAUGACUCUGGAAGAGAGCAUGAGGAGGCUCAUGAAGUGCUGAUAACGUUCUGUUUCUUAAUCUGAGUGCUGGUUUACGUGUGUGUUCACAUUACAUAUUUGUGGACACUUUCCUGGAUGCAUAUACACUUCAAUAAAAAGUUUUUUUUUUUUUUUUAAAUGAAAGUAAAGGAGUGAAAAGUUUAUAAACCCAAAGAAGAAAAAGAAUAGGAAUGGAGAGGGGCACCUGGGUGGCUCAGUUGGUUAAGCAUCCGACUUCGGCUCAGGUCAUGAUCUCAUAGCUCGUGAGUUCGAGCCCCACAUCGGGCUCUGUGCUGACAGCUCGGAGCCUGGAGCCUCCUUCAGAUUCUGUGUCUCCCUCUCUCUCUGCUCCAACCCACUUGCAUUCUGUCUCUGUCUCUCUCAAAAAUAAAUAAACAUUAAAAAAGAAUUUAAAAAUAAGAAUAGGAAUGGAGUUAAUAGCAGACAAAUCUCAGUGUAAUUUUAUAAGACAUAAAUUUGAUUGGAAUGACAGAAUAUUGACAUUUGAGGAAUCCCAUUGAGGAGGAGCAGAAUACAUGACACCAACAUAUGCCAUUUUGACAUGUGGAUUAUUUUGAACUAAAGGCAAUUAAGACCCAACAGGUUUAAGGAAAAGUUUUACCUGUCUUUUAACUACAUAAAGAAUUUAAAAUGGGGGUCUGGCUCAGAAAGAGACUUAUUACCAGAGAUAACUUUUAAUAACUUUUAAUGUACGGCAGGGCAAAUAUCUAAUUACCAAAUACCUGCUCUUCUUAUUGUCCUGGGAGUUCCCCUCCUCCCAUUUGAAUCCCCAGGCCUAUUCUAUUCUAUUCUAUUCUAUUCUAUUCUAUUCUAUUCUAUUCUAUUCUUUAACUUAAGAUGGCAUUUAAGCCUCAAUUGCCUGACUUGUCCUUGGGUCUCAUUCUUAUAGGACUCUCAAUUUGUUUUCUUCUGUUAAUCUGUCUUAUGUCAGUUUAAUUAAUAGACCAGCUAGAAGAAUCUAGAAGGGUAGAGGAAACAAAUUUUCCUCCCAUACACCAUAAUAAAUUGUCUGGGUCCUACAUUGAAGUUCCAACCCAACAAGCCCCAUCUGUGCAUAAAGGAUUCCCAGUCAGCUUUUUAGUACCUCAUUCUUUGUCUUAGUCUGUGUAGACUAUUGUAACACAAUGCCAUUGACUAGGUGGCUUAUAAACAAUAGGAAUUUAGGGGUGCCUGGGUGGCUUAGUCUGUUAUGCGUCCAACUUCAGCUCAGGUCAUGAUCUCACCAUUUGGGAGUUUGAGCCUUGUGUUAGGUUCUGUGCUGACAGCUCAGAGCCUGAAGCCUGCUUCGGAUUCUCUGUCUUCCUUUCUCUCUGCCCCUCCCCUGCUCAUGCUUUGUCUCUCAAAAAUAAAUAAACAUUGAAAAAAAAACCCAGAAAUUUAUUUCUCAUAGUUUUGGGGCAGGGAAGUCCAUGAUCAAGGUGCUGACAGCUUUUUUUUGUCUGGUGAGUGCCUGCCACCUAGUUUAUAGACUGCUGUCUUUUCAUUGUGCCCUCACUUGGCCAAGAGAUAAGGAGCUCUUGUGGGCUUCUUUUAUAAGUCGCUAAUUUCAUUCAUGAGGUUCCACUCCCAUGACCUAAUCACCUCCCAAAGUCCCCACCUCCUGAUAUCAUUAUACUGGAAGUUAGUUUUCAGCAUAUGGAUUUUGAGAAGACACAAAACAUUCAGUCAAUAACAUCUACAUAGGUAAAUAUAUCCAAGAAACACCAGUCAUUGCUGGAGUAUCUCCAACACCAUUAAUUAACAGUUUCUAAGGAACACAUAUAGAACCCUGCAUCCAGCAUUUUGAGAACACAAAUACUUUUAAAACUUAUCAGGAAGGGGAUGGGCUAAAUGGGUGAUGCCAUUAAGGAGGGCACUUGUUGGGAUGAGCACUGGGUGUCAUAUGUAAGUGACAAAUCACUGGGUUCUACUCCUGAAACUAAUAGAACAUUGUUAACUAACUUGAAUUUAAAUAAAGUAAUUAAAAAAAAAUAAAGGACAAUGAAGCAGCAACAAAAAAACAAAACAAAACUUACAAAGAAGACUUAAGAAAAUUAACUUUUAUUUAGGCCAUUGAGCAAUUUACUACAAAUUGCAUAAAAUUGCUAUCAUACAGAUCUCAUUCUCUGAUCUUAGUACAAUUAAGCUAGAAGUCAAUAACAAAAUUAUUUUUAAAACUCUAUAUAUUUGAAGAUUUUAAAAAAUCUUAAUAACUGAAAGAUCAAAAAAAAAUCCCAGUGGAAAUAAAGUUAUAAUAAUAUAUUUGAGAGGUAAUAAAAAUACUAUAUAUGAAAAUUUAUAGGAUGCAGGCAAAUUAAUAACCUUAUAUGCUUUUACACUCUAAAAUAAGAAAAACUAAAAAUUAAAUAUAUAAGUGAUCAUCCUAAUACAGUAGAAGAAACAAAAAACAUAAAUCCAAAAUAGUAGGAAGGAAGAAGAUAAAAAUCAGAGAAUAAAUAAAUAAAAUAGAAAAAGAUGUGAUAGAUGAACAAAAGAACUAAAGUUAGAUAUUUGAAAAGACUAAUAAAACAAGUUCCUGUGAGAUUGAUCUAGAUAAAAGAGAAGUAGCAACAAAUAAAUAAUGUUUAUUUAAGGGGGGAUAUAAAAUAAGCAGAGAUUUAAGAAACUGCAAAAUAUGAUGAACAACUUUAUGCCAAAAAAAUGAUUAGACAAGAGAAUGAAAAGAUAGGCCACAGAUUGAGAGGAUACAUCUGCAAACACUUAUCUAAUAAAAGACUAUUACCCAGAAUAUACAAGGAAAUUUUGAAACUCAACAACCCAAUUAAAAAGUAACCAAAAGUGGGGCUCCUGGAUGGCUCAGUUGGUUAAGUGUCCCACUUCAGCUCAGGUCAUGGUCUCAUAGUUUGUGAGUUUGAACCCCAUAUCAGGUGAGCUCGACCCCUUCAGGAUUCUCUCUCUCCCUCUCUCUCUGCCCCUCACUCACCCUUGUGCUCUCUCUCUCUCUCUC